RNAcentral lists this ribosomal RNA (472 nucleotides) under uncultured bacterium. RNAcentral's name for it is "bacterial SSU rRNA". It matches the Rfam family "Bacterial small subunit ribosomal RNA", at positions 330 to 794 of the family's 1533-position model. The record is from RNAcentral.
GCCAGACUCCUACGGGAGGCAGCAGUGGGGAAUAUUGCACAAUGGGCGCAAGCCUGAUGCAGCCAUGCCGCGUGUAUGAAGAAGGCCUUCGGGUUGUAAAGUACUUUCAGCGGGGAGGAAGGUGUUGAGGUUAAUAACCUCAGCAAUUGACGUUACCCGCAGAAGAAGCACCGGCUAACUCCGUGCCAGCAGCCGCGGUAAUACGGAGGGUGCAAGCGUUAAUCGGAAUUACUGGGCGUAAAGCGCACGCAGGCGGUCUGUCAAGUCGGAGGGGAAAUCCCCGGGCUCAACCGGGGAACUGCCUUCGAAACUGGGAGGCUGGAGUGUUGUAGAGGGGGGUAGAAUUCCAGGUGUAGCGGUGAAAUGCGUAGAGAUCUGGAGGAAAACCGGUGGCGAAGGCGGCCCCCUGGACAAAGACUGACGCUCAGGUGCGAAAGCGUGGGGAGCAAACAGGAUUAGAUACCCGCGUAUA